Molecule: long non-coding RNA, 2109 nt
Filed under: Nicotiana tabacum (common tobacco)
Lineage: Eukaryota; Viridiplantae; Streptophyta; Magnoliopsida; Solanales; Solanaceae
Description: long non-coding RNA (NTAB_LNC007076)
Source: RNAcentral
CAGCCCCAGCCCAAGUCCCCAACCCGAUCCGUUCCAUCUUCUAAUCGAAACGACAUCAUUUCGUGGGCUCCGAAUCGGGACCGCUGGAUCUCAUCAAUCCAACGGUCCGGAACUAACGAGGUUCUUAAUUUAAAAGGGUCCGAAAACCCACCCCAGACCAUCGUCUUCCUCAUUCCACCCCUCCUCGCAAACCCUAAUCCGUGCCGCCCUUAAAUCCCUCGCUGGCGGUGAACGCAACCUACGUCGUUCACCCCCAGAUUAACACCACAGAUCCUCCUCACUCUCCUCUUUCCAUUGCACCCACUGGUUCCCCUCGAAUAAGGCCGGAACUCGUCGAAUCUUCAAUUGAAGUUUCCGGUCAAAUCGAAGGUUCAUCCAAAUCAGCCCAAAAUCACACCACACAACCCCCGGCCCUCCCUCAACACUAAUCCAUGGUUAUUUUCCUUCAAAUCACUGUGAAACGGCUCGAAUCUUAGAUCUGAGAAUUUCUGGCCAAAACCCCGUCAAAAAUCUGAAAGGAUUCAGACGUUUCUGACUGGCCGGAGUUCCUCGUGCCUCUGUGAGUUUUUUUUACGGUUUCUUUUUACUCGCAUGUUUGAAGUUUCAGUUACAGUUUUGUUCUGUUAAUUUUUCUGUUAAUUUUAUGAUUUAUUUGUAUUAGUUUAGUUAUAUCAAUUGUUGAUUAGUUCUGAGCUGAUAUUUGUUUGAAUAAUUGUGAGUUUAUGGGUUAAGAAUUAGUUUCAAUUCAUUUAAUGUUGUUCAUGUUAGCUUAAGCUUAGUUUGAUUGAGUUAAUAUAAUUGAAUAAAUUGGUUUUAGUCAGUCUGAUUAGUUAGUUCCUGAAUGCUAAUUAAUCAAUUUCAGUUAGUUUUAGAUUGGAUUAGGGUAUUGGUUAUAGCUGUUAAGAAUGAGGGUAGGUUCAGUAACUUUGGGGAACCUUUAGGGGUAGUCUGGGUAUGGAAAAGGGUAGUUCUGAUAGGAAUAGUAAUUUCAAAGCAUGUGGAAGGGCGGUAUGGGUAUUGUAUGGGUAGAAGAAUACCCUAGAGCCUUCUAGAAUGGGGUACAAGUGUAGAUUUUAAUAGUUGUGAUGCAUUUACUUGUUUAGCAAGUUAAGAAUAGAGGGACCAAACUGAAAAUAGGGAGGGGACUGAUUGGAAAAUCAGAAUCUGAUCUAUUCUCUUUGGGGUUGCCUAUAAAAGGGCAUAAAAUGCCUUGGGAAAGGGGGUUCCUCUUCUUCCUUGAGCUCUAAGCUCGAAAAUUCCCACAAAAGGCCCUCCUCUCUGCUUUCAAAUCCAGUUAGUAGUUAAAUUCCAGAAUUCAAAAAUACAAACAUCAAAAAUGAGAAAAUCAAAAACAAUCUUACAGUUUCAGUAUUAGUUCUGGAUUUCAGUUGGGUUUUGGGUUUAGCAGUAUCGCAGAGGUGUUUGGGUUCAGCUGUGAGGAUAGGAGUGCAUUUGAAGUGUGUGUUGAAUUGAUCUGUGAAGUCUGCCUGCAUUUCUGGUUUUUCAAAGCAGUCUGCAUGUAUUUCUGUGGUAUAUAUUGCUGAGUUUGCUGCUGUUGCUGUUCAGAGUAGCUGACUCUUUUCCUUCUUAUAUUUUCAUUUAUCCAGGUACACAAUUAUACCCCUGAUGAAUGUGAGUUUAAAUGGGCAGAAAUGAAUUAUUUGAAGAAUGAAUGUACAUGAACUGAGUUCUGAUUUAGCUAACUUUCAGAUCUAAUUACUCAAUGUUCAAUUCAUGGAUAUUAUUUAAAGUUUUGCUUGCUUUAGUGCUAAAUAGACUAUAUGAACUGUUAUAUUUUAGAAUCAUGUGAGUAUUAUGAAGUGAAUACCAGUACUAGUUGAUUACAUGAUGUAUUGAUAGCAAUGCUGGCAUGAAUUGAUUCAGAAAUAGCUCGUUUGCUUCAUGUUUUUGAGAUUGUGUUUAUAGCUUAGUUUACCUUGGUCAUGUCUAAGAAAAUCACCAGAAUGUCAUUAGAAGAAGUAGCCUGUAUAUGAAGUGGAAUUCAAUUGACUAAUUUCCUUCUAAGUUAAGUAGAUGUGCAUUAUUUCCCUUUGGCUGAUUAUUGAAUACUUGCAAUAGUUUAGAGAUAAUUUCAAAGUGUUGUCUGGG